RNAcentral lists this ribosomal RNA (253 nucleotides) under uncultured bacterium. RNAcentral describes it as "partial 16S ribosomal RNA". It matches the Rfam family "Bacterial small subunit ribosomal RNA", at positions 524 to 776 of the family's 1533-position model. The record is from RNAcentral.
CACGUAGGGCGCAAGCGUUGUCCGGAAUUAUUGGGCGUAAAGAGCUCGUAGGCGGUCUGUUGCGUCCGCUGUGAAAACCCGGGGCUCAACCCCGGGCCUGCAGCCGAUACGGGCAGGCUAGAGUUCGGUAGGGGAGACUGGAAUUCCUGGUGUAGCGGUGAAAUGCGCAGAUAUCAGGAGGAACACCGGUGGCGAAGGCGGGUCUCUGGGCCAGUUCUGACGCUGAGGAGCGAAAGCGUGGGGAGCGAACAGG